AACGAACGCUGGCGGCAUGCCUAACACAUGCAAGUCGAACGAGACCUUCGGGUCUAGUGGCGCACGGGUGCGUAACGCGUGGGAACCUGCCCUUAGGUUCGGAAUAACUCCCCGAAAGGGGUGCUAAUACCGGAUAAUGUCUUCGGACCAAAGAUUUAUCGCCUUUGGAUGGGCCCGCGUUGGAUUAGCUAGUUGGUAGGGUAAAAGCCUACCAAGGCGACGAUCCAUAGCUGGUCUGAGAGGAUGAUCAGCCACACUGGGACUGAGACACGGCCCAGACUCCUACGGGAGGCAGCAGUGGGGAAUAUUGGACAAUGGGCGAAACCUGAUCCAGCAAUGCCGCGUGAGUGAUGAAGGCCUUAGGGUUGUAAAGCUCUUUUACCCGGGAUGAUAAUGACAGUACCGGGAGAAUAAGCUCCGGCUAACUCCGUG
Molecule: ribosomal RNA, 432 nt
Filed under: uncultured bacterium
Lineage: Bacteria
Description: partial 16S ribosomal RNA
Rfam family: Bacterial small subunit ribosomal RNA
Source: RNAcentral